AUUGAACGCUGGCGGAAUGCUUUACACAUGCAAGUCGAGCGAACUGAUUAGAAGCUUGCUUCUAUGACGUUAGCGGCGGACAGGUGAGUAACACGUGGGCAACCUGCCUGUAAGACUGGGAUAACUUCGGGAAACCGAAGCUAAUACCGGAUAGGAUCUUCUCCUUCAUGGGAGAUGAUUGAAAGAUGGUUUCGGCUAUCACUUACAGAUGGGCCCGCGGUGCAUUAGCUAGUUGGUGAGGUAACGGCUCACCAAGGCAACGAUGCAUAGCCGACCUGAGAGGGUGAUCGGCCACACGGGGACUGAGACACGGCCCAGACUCCUACGGGAGGCAGCAGUAGGGAAUCUUCCGCAAUGGACGAAAGUCUGACGGAGCAACGCCGCGUGAGUGAUGAAGGCUUUCGGGUCGUAAAACUCUGUUGUUAGGGAAGAACAAGUACAAGAGUAACUGCUUGUACCUUGACGGUACCUAACCAGAAAGCCACGGCUAACUACGUGCCAGCCGCCGCAGUAA
Molecule: ribosomal RNA, 514 nt
Filed under: uncultured bacterium
Lineage: Bacteria
Description: partial 16S ribosomal RNA
Rfam family: Bacterial small subunit ribosomal RNA
Source: RNAcentral